GAUGAACGCUGGCGGCGUGCCUAAUACAUGCAAGUCGAGCGAACAGACGAUGAGCUUGCUCCCCUGACGUUAGCGGCGGACGGGUGAGUAACACGUGGAUAACCUACCUAUAAGACUUGGAUAACUUCGGGAGACCGGAUCUAAUACCGGAUCAUAUAUUGAACCGCAUGGUUCAAUAGAGAUAGACGGUUUUGCUGUCACUAUUAGACGGAUCCGCGCCGCAUUAGCUAGUUGGUAAGGUAACGGCUUACCAAGGCCACGAUGCGUAACCGACCUGAUGAGGUGAACCAGCACCACUGAACUGAGGAAAGGGCCCGACUCCUACGGGAGGCAGCAGUAGGGAAAUUUCCGCAAUGGGCGGAAGCCUGGAGCCACCCAGACGGGGGAGGUAUAAAGGUCUUCCGAUCGUAAAACUCUGUUAUUUGGGAAGAACAAGUGUGUAAGUAACUAUGCGCGUCUCGGCGGUAACUAAACGGAAAACCACGGCUGACUACGUG
Molecule: ribosomal RNA, 497 nt
Filed under: uncultured bacterium
Lineage: Bacteria
Description: partial 16S ribosomal RNA
Rfam family: Bacterial small subunit ribosomal RNA
Source: RNAcentral